GAAGGUGAUGCCUGCCCGGUGACCUGACGUUUAACGGCCGCGGUAUCCUAACCGUGCAAAGGUAGCGCAAUCAAUUGUCCCAUAAAUCGAGACUAGUAUGAAUGGCUAAACGAGGUCUUAACUGUCUCUUGCAGGCAAUCGGUGAAAUUGAUCUCCCUGUGCAAAAGCAGGGAUAAACCCAUAAGACGAGAAGACCCUGUGGAACUUUAAAAACAGCAGCCACCCCAAAUAACAUAACCCCCCAUCGGGCUCACUCAUACACAAGCCACUGGCCUGCAUUUUUUCGGUUGGGGCGACCUUGGAGAAAAACAAAUCCUCCAAAAAUUGGACCAUAACUCUAGACCAAGAGCAACACCUCAACGUGCUAAUAGCACCCAGACCCAAUAUAAUUGAUCAAUGGACCAAGCUACCCCAGGGAUAACAGCGCAAUCUCCUUUAAGAGUCCAUAUCGACAAGGAGGUUUACGACCUCGAUGUUGGAUCAGGACAUCCUAGUGGUGCAGAAGCUACUAAGGGUUCGUUUGUUCAACGAUUAACAGUCCU
RNAcentral lists this ribosomal RNA (542 nucleotides) under Myrmecocichla formicivora. Its description in RNAcentral is "partial 16S ribosomal RNA". It matches the Rfam family "Bacterial large subunit ribosomal RNA", at positions 1848 to 2597 of the family's 2925-position model. Lineage: Eukaryota; Metazoa; Chordata; Aves; Passeriformes; Muscicapidae. The record is from RNAcentral.